GACGGAGGGUGCUAGCGUUGUUCGGAAUCACUGGGCGUAAAGGGUGCGUAGGCGGCGCGGUAAGUCGGGUGUGAAAUCUCGGAGCUUAACUCCGAAACUGCAUUCGAUACUGCCGUGCUUGAGGACUGGAGAGGAGACUGGAAUUUACGGUGUAGCGGUGAAAUGCGUAGAUAUCGUAAGGAAGACCAGUGGCGAAGGCGGGUCUCUGGACAGUUCCUGACGCUGAGGCACGAAGGUCAGGGGAGCAAACGGG
This 253-nucleotide ribosomal RNA is filed under the name uncultured bacterium. RNAcentral's name for it is "partial 16S ribosomal RNA". It matches the Rfam family "Bacterial small subunit ribosomal RNA", at positions 524 to 776 of the family's 1533-position model. The record is from RNAcentral.